GACGAACGCUGGCGGCGUGCCUAAUACAUGCAAGUAGAACGCACAGUUUAUACCUUAGCUUGCUACACCAUAGACUGUCAGUUGCGAACGGGUGAGUUACGCUUCCGUAACCUGCCUGGUAGCGGCGGAUAACUAUUGCAAAUGCUAGCUAAUACCGCCUACUAUUUAUUAUUGCAUGAUAAUUUUUUGCAAGUUGCUAUUGCAUCACUACUUAUUGGCCUUGCGUUGUAUUAGUUAGUAGGUGAGGUAACGGCUCACCUAGGCGACGAUACAUAGCCGACAGGAGAGGGUGGUUGGCCACACUGGGACGGAGACACGGCACAGACGGCUACGGGAGGCAGCAGGAGGGAAUCGUCGGCAAGGGACGAAAGUCUGACCGAGAAACGCCGCGGGAGGGAAGAAGGAUGUCGGAUCGGAAAGGUCGGUUGUAAGAGAAGAAAGGGUGUGAGAGUGGAAAGUACACACUGUGACGGUAUCUGACCAGAAAGGGACGGCUAACUACGUG
Molecule: ribosomal RNA, 505 nt
Filed under: uncultured bacterium
Lineage: Bacteria
Description: partial 16S ribosomal RNA
Rfam family: Bacterial small subunit ribosomal RNA
Source: RNAcentral